AAGUUGCAGGGUAUAGACCCGAAACCCGGUGAUCUAGCCAUGGGCAGGUUGAAGGUUGGGUAACACUAACUGGAGGACCGAACCGACUAAUGUUGAAAAAUUAGCGGAUGACCUGUGGCUGGGGGUGAAAGGCCAAUCAAACCGGGAGAUAGCUGGUUCUCCCCGAAAGCUAUUUAGGUAGCGCCUCGUGAAUUCAUCUCCGGGGGUAGAGCACUGUUUCGGCUAGGGGGCCAUCCCGGCUUACCAACCCGAUGCAAACUGCGAAUACCGGAGAAUGUUAUCACGGGAGACACACGGCGGGUGCUAACGUCCGUCGUGAAGAGGGAAACAACCCAGACCGCCAGCUAAGGUCCCAAAGUCAUGGUUAAGUGGGAAACGAUGUGGGAAGGCCCAGACAGCCAGGAUGUUGGCUUAGAAGCAGCCAUCAUUUAAAGAAAGCGUAAUAGCUCACUGGUCGAGUCGGCCUGCGCGGAAGAUGUAACGGGGCUAAACCAUGCACCGAAGCUGCGGCAGCGACACUCAGGUGUUGUUGGGUAGGGGAGCGUUCUGUAAGCCUGUGAAGGUGGCCUGUGAGGGUUGCUGGAGGUAUCAGAAGUGCGAAUGCUGACAUAAGUAACGAUAAAGCGGGUGAAAAGCCCGCUCGCCGGAAGACCAAGGGUUCCUGUCCAACGUUAAUCGGGGCAGGGUGAGUCGACCCCUAAGGCGAGGCCGAAAGGCGUAGUCGAUGGGAAACGGGUUAAUAUUCCCGUACUUGGUGUUACUGCGAAGGGGGGACGGAGAAGGCUAUGUUGGCCGGGCGACGGUUGUCCCGGUUUAAGCGUGUAGGUGUGUGUUCCAGGUAAAUCCGGUUCACUUUAACACUGAGGCGUGAUGACGAGGCACUACGGUGCUGAAGCAACAAAUGCCCUGCUUCCAGGAAAAGCCUCUAAGCAUCAGGUAACAUCAAAUCGUACCCCAAACCGACACAGGUGGUCAGGUAGAGAAUACCAAGGCGCUUGAGAGAACUCGGGUGAAGGAACUAGGCAAAAUGGUGCCGUAACU
This 1041-nucleotide ribosomal RNA is filed under the name Salmonella enterica. RNAcentral's name for it is "partial 23S ribosomal RNA". It matches the Rfam family "Bacterial large subunit ribosomal RNA", at positions 697 to 1735 of the family's 2925-position model. Lineage: Bacteria; Pseudomonadati; Pseudomonadota; Gammaproteobacteria; Enterobacterales; Enterobacteriaceae. The record is from RNAcentral.